GGGACCACAGCUGGGAGAGCACCUGCCUUACAAGCAGGGGGUCACAGGUUCGAGCCCUGUUGGUCCCACCA
RNAcentral lists this transfer RNA (71 nucleotides) under Clostridioides difficile. Its description in RNAcentral is "tRNA-Val(tac)". It matches the Rfam family "tRNA". Rfam says of the family: Transfer RNA (tRNA) molecules are approximately 80 nucleotides in length. Lineage: Bacteria; Bacillati; Bacillota; Clostridia; Peptostreptococcales; Peptostreptococcaceae. The record is from RNAcentral.